Molecule: long non-coding RNA, 2005 nt
Filed under: Macaca mulatta (Rhesus monkey)
Lineage: Eukaryota; Metazoa; Chordata; Mammalia; Primates; Cercopithecidae
Description: lncRNA (ENSMMUG00000052251.1)
Source: RNAcentral
UGGUCACAGUUAUCCUUUAUAGCAACACAAAACAGGGUAAUACAGUGUUCCUGAGGAGCGCCCUUCAGGCCCUCAGCAGGUUGUAGCCACCCAUCCUGGGGCAGCAAGUAGGCCAGACUGGGGCCAGACUGAGGCUGGUUCAGUGGGCCCUCCUAAGGUCGGCUCCCCCAUCUGUCUCCCAUCCUGAGCCUCGCAGUCCUCACACAAGUGUGGAUCAUUAUUCUGAAAGAUACAAUCCCAAGCACUGGUCCCCAACAUUGAAAUAGUGAAAGACACAAAUCUCUAAAGUUUCAAAUCCCUGACAUCUAAAGUUUUGAAAAUCACAAUCCCGGGAUAGCGGCAUCAUGUUGGGUGGAGCUACGACCUUGCUUAGGGCUUUAUUUGGAGACUGAGAAUGGUUGAAGGGGAUGCAGAUGGAUGCCAGGUUGACAAGGGGUGGACCUGCGGACUUCUUUUGGGUGUGGACUUGACUGGGUUAAGGAUACCUAGAGGUCGUUAUUUUGGGCAUGGCUGUGAGGUGUUUUCAGAGAUGAGUAUGUGAGUCUGAGGGGCCUAGGUGGGGAAGAUCCACCCUCAAUGUUGGUGGGCAGCAUUCGAUCUGCUGAGGCCCAGAGGGAACAAAUACAGAAGGCGAACUGGUCUCUCUCAGAGCCGGGACAGCCUUUUCUUCCACUGCCUUGACAUCAGAGCUCCAGGCUCGCUGGCCUUUGGACUCUGGGACUUACACCCGUGGCCCUCCUGGGUCCUGAAGCUUUCGUCCUGAGCCACCCUGCCGGCAUCCCAGGUUGACUGUGUGUGUAAGCGUUGUGCCUGUGUGUAAAAACAUCAAAACUUCCUCCAUACAUGAAGGGAUGUAAUUUUUGUACAUCUGUGUUUGUGAGAGAUGAAAGUUCUUGCCAUCUCCGCUCUUUGGGCAACUGCGUGUGUGGUGGUGACGCAUCGUAGACUGACUUCAUCAAAAGACGGGUUGCUGGUCAUGACGUGACUGCAGAUAUCAAGCCGGGUGCACGCAAUUACCAAGCAUAGUGACGUGCAUGUAUACAUUUCCCAUUUUGACUUGUUUAUGAAUAUAGUUUGUCUGCUAAUAACUCACACCUGUGUAACUGUCAUUAGUAUUUACCUGAGUGUUUAUGCUUGCAAAAAUAUGUAUUAUUGCCUAUUUUAUUGUGUAAAGUGGCUAAUGAUGUGUUCUGUUGUUUUUCUGUUUCUCAAAUCCUUUUAAAAUGUAAAUAUCUUUUAAAAAAUUAAAAAAAAAAUUCCCAGAAUUAUAUUUCCAGGAUUUAGAUAUUUUGGGAUUGUGAUUUUUGGAUUUUAGAGUAAUUUUAAUAUUUUGGAUUCUCAACGCUUGGGACUAUGGCAUUUGGGACUGUGUCUUUCGGGAUUCCCACACAAUCCCCAGGCAGACUCAUUGGCUCUCUGCUUCCCAUGUACAAGGUGCAGCUCUUUUUUCCCAUCGGUUUCAAGCCCCGCCCCUCCCCAGCCCCCUGUAUGAGGAGCGGCAAGGCAGCCGCAGCUUCACGCUCUCUUUGGUGGUGGGGCGGCGGGCUGCCUGGGCUGGUGGGUUCAGGCAAGGAUGCCUCCCCAUGAACAUGCUACCCUCCGCAUGCCUGAGUCCUGCCACCCCCUCCCCCCAACACAGUCCCCACAUCAGGGACAAAAGAUAGAGACUUGAGUCCUAGGCUCUCCUGAAAGCGGUCACGAAGACACAUGCAGCUCCUGGUGCCUGUGAGCCUGUCCUACAGAUGGGGCUCCGCCACGGCUGGCCUGGAGGCCCCCACUUCUGGCGGGCCACAGAGGAGGCCCUCACGGGCCAGGAGGCUGCAGCGGCAUUCUGGGGCACUUGCAGAGACCCCCCCUUCCCGCUGGCAGUUCAAAGUGAGGCCCAGGCUUUCUGGAUGGUGGAAGCCCUGGCUGAGCAGGUCGGGGCCUGGUGCUGGGGCCAAGUUCUCCUCGGCCCCCACUCGGAAGCUGCACAUGGACAGUGGCGUCCCCAGGGCCGGCCCUG